Curvularia kusanoi is the source of this 148-nucleotide non-coding RNA. Lineage: Eukaryota; Fungi; Ascomycota; Dothideomycetes; Pleosporales; Pleosporaceae. The record is from the annotation of a GenBank genome assembly.
GGGCACAUGGUCCAGUGGUCUAAGACGCUCGCAGAGAGGCGUGAGGAUCGGCGGGCUGGAUGUAGUCUAUGGACCCCACUCAUCGCUGGUUGUCGUAAGACAGCCGCUUUCGAAGCGAGAAACGUCCGUUCGAAUCGGACUGAGUCCA